UCUAUUUCCAUGAUAGGAUCUCUUAGCUCUUUUGAAAAGACUCCUCAGAGUAUAUUAAUCUUUCCCUGCUUAGAAUGUCCUUGUUAACGGCAGUUUUAAAAUAAUGCAGUUUUCACUUGGGAUGCUGAUACCAGUUGCUGAAUUUCUUUCUGAAAACAUUGUUGGCGUCAGCAGAAAACCAGGAAACUUGAUUCAACUUUGGGCCUGCCUCCUGCCUGUGCCUGGCAUCUGUGAUGCUGGGCAGCGAAGGACCCAGCGUGUAAACAGAGUAGACCGGGACCUGGCCUCUGUGAAAGGACUUGUGGCCAAGUUGCACGGAUCCAUUAUUCAUGCCCACAUGUGUGAAUGCACAAUGUAAAACGGGUAGCAAGAUGAAGAAGAAAAGGCCUAGAGAAAGAAAAACACAGACUGCAGAGUGCUGAGAGGCAAGUCAAGAAUUAUACAAAAAUUCUCAGCAUUUCAUCGGCACUCUUCUGGGUAUUACUUGGUUUUUGACCUCUUGGAAAACAAUGAGCAGAGUUGAACAUGAGGACUCCAGUAAUCUUCUGAUAGUGAACUGAAAUCUUCAGACCUAUGACUACAACCUGAGACCAGAUGAGCUUGUGGGGUCAGCUUCAUCACACUCCUCCUACCAUAUUCAGAAACCAUAGGUGGUGGAAAGACUAGGCUUUGGAGUCCACCCUGCCUCCGUCAUUUGCUCAGUGAUCUUUACAAGUUAUUUAAUCUCUCUGUACCUCUCUGAAUUCUCAUUCGUAAAAUGAGGAUAAAAUUUGUGGGGGCUAUGAAAAUGUACCUCUCAGAUCACCCACUGUGGGGAAUAUAGGUGAUGUAAGGCCCCAGCUGAUAUAUUCUGAAGUCUAUCCCCAGGUUUGUGCCAAGGUCAUGCUUCCCACAGGCUGCUGCCAACAAAUGACUAAGCAAGGCAGGGAUACUGAGACAGGUCCAUUUCUGCAAUAUGGUGGCUCCUCCAAUUACUAACUUUGGCUCUAGGACUCCCGGCAGGUCUUAAUGAAACUUUCUUAGAAUUUCACUGCAGUCUAAGACCUCCCCCUUUCUUUCCUCCUUCUGUCCUUCACAGGAGUCAGACAUGCACUGCAGUCUGAGGCCUCUCCUGGCAUUUUCUGGCUCCUUCCACAUUUUCCCUCACCAGCAUCUCCCCUAAUAAAUCUCUUGCACAUUUAAUCCCAUCCUGGGGUUUGCCUCUUAGAGAACCUGGACUAACAAAAACUUAACCUAGUAAAGUUCUUGUAAGGAUAAUAGUAGGUACUCAAUCAUGGCUGCUAUUAUUACUAGCAAGCAUGUAGCUGACUACCAGCGCUCUUACUGUUUUACAUAUGCUGCAACUAGCUUGGCUAUAUCUUCCCAAUUCUAGACAUAGAGUUGAUUUUUUGACCUUUAAGAGCAUGACUUGAUAUUCAUCCCUGUUUGUUUCAUAUUUUAAGAUUUGAUCCAUUACUCAAAUCACUGUGGAGCCUGAUUUAAUUAUACGAAUUAUUCAUUAUUCAUUGGUGUGCUGAGUGACUCAUACCAGCUCUUAAGGGCUGACCAAUUUUCAGGGAAUUUCCAAGCUAGUGGUUAAACUGUUGGUUGCUUGAAAUUGGAAUUGGCCAUGACUGGGGUAUUUACACCACAGAAAUUGGCAAAUGGUACAAAUUAGGGCCUUUAAAAUAUUUUUUCAGAGAGCCAAUUAACCAGAACACCACUGAUUAUUCUUCCCAAACAUGUGUCUUGAGCACAGACAAGUUUUAAACAUGUUGGGACAAAGAACACAGCCUGGCAGCUCCAUAAUCUGGUAAGUCAAAAUGAAUGGCUCUCCUCAGCAAGGGCCAUGGUGUCAGCACACUGUCCAGGGCACUCCAUGGGCCUGGGUGCUGGAAACUUGGCAACAGCCUCAACAGAUAGAAGAGCCAAAGGAAGAUGGACUCUGAAGAUUAAAUUUGUUAAUCUGGGGUUCUUGUCAUUUAGUUAAGCAAAAAUUUUAUAAGCAGUACUAUCAAGAAUACAGAUUCCCUCUUGUCUUGCUGGCUAUGAGUGCAACUGGUAAUAGCCAGACCAUAAUUUUGAAGCCCUUGGAUUCCACAGAGGUACCUCUGAGGCCACAGAGGAAGGAGGGAUAAUGUCCAAAAGGAGGCAUCCCAAGUCUCCCAGACCUGAGCCAACCAAAACUGUCCCACUUUUUGCAUUUUAUAUCUGGGUUCCCAUUUAGACAUCUUUGUAAACUAAACUUUAGUGGUUAAAAAAGUGAAAGCUACUAUCUUA
Molecule: long non-coding RNA, 2259 nt
Organism: Rhinolophus ferrumequinum (greater horseshoe bat)
Lineage: Eukaryota; Metazoa; Chordata; Mammalia; Chiroptera; Rhinolophidae
Exons: 3
Source: RefSeq, a predicted model, not a curated record